UUAUUGGUGAGGAAAUUUAAAAUUAACCACUUCAUAAAGGAAAGCUGUCUGUGUGUGUGGUCCUGUGGGUGGUAUCGAUUUGUAGAGUGAAGUUUUUAUAUAAAGCACCCUGAGUCAGCUUAAAUGACGAUAUAUAAAGAAACUAAACUCGAGGAAAAAGGGCGUUCCCAUACCGGGAGUCGAACCCGGGCCGCCUGGGUGAAAACCAGGAAUCCUAACCGCUAGACCAUAUGGGAUUUGCGGCCAAGAGUCAUCAUCAUAUGUAUAUGACAUAAAUGAAUGGCAAACGAAUCCGGAAAUGACAGGAUGGUGGUGGUACUUUUGUUCGUGGCGCCAUGACGUUCCUAAAAUAACUUUAACGUUAGCGAUUCAUUCCCCGAAAGCUGACACAGAACUGCAUGUUUUAAGCUAGCUCCUUAGUCCAGCUCAUCUUCACUGGUGUUGUAAACCAAAGGCAUUAUAAACAUGUUCGGUGUUACACUGUAGGUGUGAGGAAGAAGUGUGCAAAAAUAAUUCCUUUUUAAUUAAGAACGACAUUAGUUUCUGGAUAUCUUCGGGUUUGGGGGCUUUGUAGAGCGGAGGACGUCUUUAUUUGGAUUUAGUCGAUACGAGAGCGCAUCAAAGUCAUUCAAUAUAAGGUUUUGAAAAGAGAUUUAAAAAAAUCAGCGAGGACGUUGCAUUUCCUUUGAAAGGCGCACGCAGGUGCUAUUUGACUGUAAGUGGGUCAAAUCAGAAUAAGAAUAAGCCAGCUCUAUCUUACUGUACUUAACCCCUAUUCACAGCAGACUGGUAAAGAAUAGACAUCUAAAAGUAGGACACUGAUAACUAUGAACAUGAAUAUCUACUCUACUUUUACUCUUGUAGGAUAAUAAAUGAUUCCAUUGUUUCUGGGGGGUAAUUUACGAUGCUGUAAUUUACGUUCUUCUAGGAAACUAGAAAAUAGGUCAGCAAUUAAUUGAAACAUCUGCAAACAUACUCGGAAUUACUAUAUAUAAGGCAAAAAAGAGUUUGUACAAUUCCAACAAACUUGAGAGUCAAGUUUUGCCUCCCUUCCACUGAAACCAUUUCUGAUGAAACUUCAGUGAAGACAUUGGGUCAUGAAUGGAUCAUGAAGGGCUAAAUGCAUCUCUCGGUGCUUUGUCAGGUGGAUUUUUUUUUCUUUUUUUGACAAAGUUUCGCAUACUGUUCACCUGUUGUAAAUCUUUUGUCCUCUACUUGCACACUGUGCUGAAAUAUGCUAGGUUUUCAGCUAACAGCUCCUUGGGAAUCACCUUCUUGGUACAAAAAUAAAAUGUUAUGUACGCCAAA
Molecule: long non-coding RNA, 1308 nt
Organism: Oreochromis niloticus (Nile tilapia)
Lineage: Eukaryota; Metazoa; Chordata; Actinopteri; Cichliformes; Cichlidae
Exons: 2
Source: RefSeq, a predicted model, not a curated record